Molecule: ribosomal RNA, 919 nt
Filed under: uncultured bacterium
Lineage: Bacteria
Description: bacterial SSU rRNA
Rfam family: Bacterial small subunit ribosomal RNA
Source: RNAcentral
UCGACGAACUUACCCUUUGUUUACAUUGGGAGCGGUUAGUGGCGGACUGGUGAGUAACACGUAAGCAACCUGCCUAUUAGAGGGGAAUAACAGUGAGAAAUCAUUGCUAAUACCGCAUAUGCUCACAGUAUCACAUGAUACAGUGAGGAAAGGAGCAAUCCGCUAAUAGAUGGGCUUGCGUCUGAUUAGCUAGUUGGUGGGGUAACGGCCUACCAAGGCGACGAUCAGUAGCCGGACUGAGAGGUUGAACGGCCACAUUGGGACUGAGAUACGGCCCAGACUCCUACGGGAGGCAGCAGUCGGGAAUAUUGCGCAAUGGAGGAAACUCUGACGCAGUGACGCCGCGUAUAGGAAGAAGGUUUUCGGAUUGUAAACUAUUGUCGUUAGGGAAGAUAAAAGACUGUACCUAAGGAGGAAGCUCCGGCUAACUAUGUGCCAGCAGCCGCGGUAAUACAUAGGGAGCAAGCGUUAUCCGGAAUUAUUGGGUGUAAAGGGUGCGUAGACGGAGGAACAAGUUAGUUGUGAAAUCCCUCGGCUUAACUGAGGAACUGCAACUAAAACUAUUCCCCUUGAGUGUCGGAGAGGAAAGUGGAAUUCCUAGUGUAGCGGUGAAAUGCGUAGAUAUUAGGAGGAACACCAGUGGCGAAGGCGACUUUCUGGACGAUAACUGACGUUGAGGCACGAAAGUGUGGGGAGCAAACAGGAUUAGAUACCCUGGUAGUCCACACUGUAAACGAUGGAUACUAGGUGUAGGGUGUAUUAAGCACUCUGUGCCGCCGCAAACGCAUUAAGUAUCCCACCUGGGGAGUACGACCGCGAGGUUGAAACUUAAAGGAAUUGACGGGGGCCCGCACAAGCAGUGGAGUAUGUGGUUUAAUUCGAAGCAACGCGAAGAACCUUACAGGGCUUGACAUAUACC